UAUUGGACAAUGGGGGCAACCCUGAUCCAGCAAUGCCGCGUGAGUGAUGAAGGCCUUCGGCCUGUAAAGCUCUUUUGGCAGGGACGAUGAUGGCGGUACCUGCAGAAUAAGCCCCGGCUAACUUCGUGCCAGCAGCCGCGGUAAUACGAAGGGGGCUAGCAUUGUUCGGAGUUACUGGGCGUAAAGGGCGCGUAGGCGGCUCUGCAAGUCGGGCGUGAAAUCCCUGGGCUCAACCCGGGAAUGGCGCUCGAGACUGCAAGGCUUGAGUACGGGAGAGGAUGGUGGAAUUCCCAGUGUAGAGGUGAAAUUCGUAGACAUUGGGAAGAACACCGGUGGCGAAGGCGGCCAUCUAUCCUCAACUGACGCGAGGCGCGAAG
RNAcentral lists this ribosomal RNA (377 nucleotides) under uncultured bacterium. RNAcentral describes it as "bacterial SSU rRNA". It matches the Rfam family "Bacterial small subunit ribosomal RNA", at positions 362 to 758 of the family's 1533-position model. The record is from RNAcentral.